This 329-nucleotide ribosomal RNA is filed under the name uncultured eukaryote. RNAcentral describes it as "partial 18S ribosomal RNA". It matches the Rfam family "Eukaryotic small subunit ribosomal RNA", at positions 1470 to 1796 of the family's 1831-position model. The record is from RNAcentral.
CCCUUAGAUGUCCUGGGCCGCACGCGCGCUACACUGAGUGUCUGAGAUACGAGUCUGCCUGGUCCGGCAAGGUCUAGGUAAUCGCUAAAAGACACAUCAUGCUUGGGAUAGAUUAUUGCAAAUAUUAAUCUUGAACGAGGAAUUCCUAGUAAGCGCAAGUCAACAGCUUGCGUUGAUUACGUCCCUGCCCUUUGUACACACCGCCCGUCGCUACUACUGAUUGGAUGUUUAAGCGAGGUUCUCGAACUGCUAGCGACUUAGCUUCGGUGAGGUCGCAGUGUGGGAAGUGAACCAAGCUUUGGUGUCUAGAGGAAGUAAAAGUCGUAACA